RNAcentral lists this ribosomal RNA (443 nucleotides) under uncultured bacterium. Its description in RNAcentral is "partial 16S ribosomal RNA". It matches the Rfam family "Bacterial small subunit ribosomal RNA", at positions 338 to 795 of the family's 1533-position model. The record is from RNAcentral.
CCUACGGGUGGCAGCAGUGGGGGAUAUUGGGCAAUGGGGGCAACUCUGACCCAGCAACGCCGCGUGAAUGAUGAAGGUCUUCGGAUUGUAAAGUUCUGUGAUGGGGGAUGAACACAAUGACGGUACCCCAAUAGCAAGCCACGGCUAACGACGUGCCAGCAGCGGCGGUAAUACGUAGGUGGCAAGCGUUAUCCGGAAUGACUGGGCGUAAGGGGGGCGGAGGUGGUUUAGUAAGUUGGCGGUGUAAUGCCGGGGCCCAACCUCGGCGCUACCGCCAAAACUAUCAGACUGGAGUGCAGGAGGGGCAGGUGGAAUUCCUAGUGUAGCGGUGGAAUGCGUAGAUAUUAGGAGGAACAUCAGGGGCGAAGGCGACCUACUGGACUGUAACUGACACUGAGGCACGAAAGCGUGGGGAGCAAACAGGAUUAGAUACCCUAGUAGUC